Molecule: ribosomal RNA, 111 nt
Filed under: Bacillus subtilis subsp. subtilis
Lineage: Bacteria; Bacillati; Bacillota; Bacilli; Caryophanales; Bacillaceae
Source: RNAcentral
UGGUGGCGAUAGCGACGAGGUCACACCCGUUCCCAUACCGCACACGGAAGUUAAGCUCUUCAGCGCCGAUGGUAGUCGGGGGUUUCCCCCUGUGAGAGUAGGACGCCGCCA